This 497-nucleotide ribosomal RNA is filed under the name uncultured bacterium. RNAcentral's name for it is "partial 16S ribosomal RNA". It matches the Rfam family "Bacterial small subunit ribosomal RNA", at positions 28 to 507 of the family's 1533-position model. The record is from RNAcentral.
GAUGAACGCUGGCGGCGUGCCUAAUACAUGCAAGUCGAGCGAACAGACGAGGAGCUUGCUCCUCUGACGUUAGCGGCGGACGGGUGAGUAACACGUGGAUAACCUACCUAUAAGACUGGGAUAACUUCGGGAAACCGGAGCUAAUACCGGAUAAUAUAUUGAACCGCAUGGUUCAAUAGUGAAAGACGGUUUUGCUGUCACUUAAAGAUGGAUCCGCGCCGCAUUAGCUAGUUGGUAAGGUAACGGCUUACCAAGGCGACGAUGCGUAGCCGACCUGAGAGGGUGAUCUGCCACACUGGAACUGAGACACGGUCCAGACUCCUACGGGAGGCAGCAGUAGGGAAUCUUCCGCAAUGGGCGAAAGCCUGACGGAGCAACGCCGCGUGAGUGAUGAAGGUCUUCGGAUCGUAAAACUCUGUUAUUAGGGAAGAACAAAUGUGUAAGUAACUAUGCACGUCUUGACGGUACCUAAUCAGAAAGCCACGGCUAGCUACGUG